ACGUGCACCGAUCAUCGCCAAUGGCAGCGAAGACCUGAUUAAGCUCCUCCGCCGUGAUCUUCCCAUCGCGAUCCGUGUCAAAGAAGCAAAAAGCGUCUCGCAGCUCCGUGUCGCAAGCCGGGCCGAAAGCCGAACUGAUGGCGCCGAACUCCUCCAGGCUUAUGCACCCAUCACCGUCACGAUCCACCUCGCUCAACAUCAUCAUAAUCUCCUCCUCGCUCGGCGGCUCGACUCCAACCCUGCUCAGCAGGGCCUCCAGCUCUCUUUUCGUUAUCUUCCCAUCACCGUCUCGGUCUAUCAUCUUAAACGCAUGAACAAGCUCCGUCUGGAUAUCGGACGAAAAAUCGGACCAGUCACCCGAUAUCUCGUAUGAAUGCAUGGGCAAAACGCUGGUGGGCGUCCCCAUACCGCCACCGCAAGCCCCGGUACCGGUCUUCAAAUUCGUGGAGGAGUCAGAGGACGUGGAGGACGAAGUGCCGGAACUAAAAGAAGAUGGAUCGGUUCGUGUAACCGACCUGCUCUUCUUGGACCGAAACAACUGUUUGGGGUUGAUCUUGUAGAUGAGUUUCAUGGCUGAAAGAGAGAAGAACAGAAGAAAGGG
Molecule: long non-coding RNA, 601 nt
Filed under: Vitis vinifera (wine grape)
Lineage: Eukaryota; Viridiplantae; Streptophyta; Magnoliopsida; Vitales; Vitaceae
Description: long non-coding RNA (VVIN_LNC002639)
Source: RNAcentral